GCAGAGCUGAACACACCCGGGGAGCUGUGCAUCCGAGGGUACUGCGUCAUGCUGGGCUACUGGGAGAUGUCGCCACAAUGAACGAGCAGGGCUUCUGCAAGAUCGUGGGCCGCUCUAAGGAUAUGAUCAUCCGGGGUGGUGAGAACAUCUACCCCGCAGAGCUCGAGGACUUCUUUCACACACACCCGAAGGUGCAGGAAGUGCAGGUGGUGGGAGUGAAGGACGAUCGGAUGGGGGAAGAGAUUUGUGCCUGCAUUCGGCUGAAGGAUGGGGAGGAGACCACGGUGGAGGAGAUCAAAGCUUUCUGCAAAGGGAAGAUCUCUCACUUCAAGAUUCCGAGGUACAUCGUGUUUGUCACAAACUACCCCCUCACCA
This 375-nucleotide small RNA is filed under the name Pongo abelii (Sumatran orangutan). RNAcentral's name for it is "processed transcript". The record is from RNAcentral. Lineage: Eukaryota; Metazoa; Chordata; Mammalia; Primates; Hominidae.